AUACUUACCUGGCAGGGAGCUUCCAGGAUCACAGAGGUGGUUCUCCCAGUGUGAGGCGUAUCUGUUUCACUCUGGAUGCCCUGACCCCUGUGAUUGUCCCAAAUGUGGGAAAUUUGACUGCACACAUGGUGGCGGGGACUGCGUGUGCCCUCUCCCCUG
This is a small nuclear RNA of Molossus molossus (Pallas's mastiff bat), 159 nucleotides long. RefSeq annotates it as U1 spliceosomal RNA. The transcript has a single exon. NCBI's taxonomy places the organism in Eukaryota, Metazoa, Chordata, Mammalia, Chiroptera, Molossidae. The record is from RefSeq and is a predicted model, not a curated record.